RNAcentral lists this non-coding RNA (31 nucleotides) under Mus musculus (house mouse). Lineage: Eukaryota; Metazoa; Chordata; Mammalia; Rodentia; Muridae. The record is from RNAcentral.
UUUAAGGAGAAUUAUCCUCUGCCUAGGACGU